GGUGGGACUGGCGAUUGGGACUAAGUCGUAACAAGGUAGCCGUACCGGAAGGUGCGGCUGGAUCACCUCCUUU
Molecule: ribosomal RNA, 73 nt
Filed under: Escherichia coli
Lineage: Bacteria; Pseudomonadati; Pseudomonadota; Gammaproteobacteria; Enterobacterales; Enterobacteriaceae
Description: partial 16S ribosomal RNA
Rfam family: Bacterial small subunit ribosomal RNA
Source: RNAcentral